Long non-coding RNA from Heterocephalus glaber (naked mole-rat), 1732 nucleotides. The record is from Ensembl. NCBI's taxonomy places the organism in Eukaryota, Metazoa, Chordata, Mammalia, Rodentia, Bathyergidae.
CAAAUACUCUGAUAAAUUAAACAACUCCAGUUCUUUGACUAAAAAAGUUUUAAAGUCAGAAAAUGAGUGAAACGAUUAAGUCUGAAAUUAAAUGUUCUUAUUUUACUUUUUCAUUGGAAGUUGCCAUAAAAGUUCAAAUUUUCAACAUCUUGAAAAAGACUUUAUCUUAAAAGUGAAAAGACUGUAGAUGAACUGAAAGGUUAUUCUACCACGAGAUAACCAUAACUGGUGCUGGAAACCUGUAAGAACAUCUUGAAAAGAACAAAUCAGACCCUACUCCUACCAUGGGAAUCUCCACACCAAAAAGUGAAUGGAAUUUAAAAUCAAUCGAGGUAGCUGGAAAACUGUUAAAGCUGAAGGAAGAAACAAUAUUAUUCAUUUUUUUCAUUACUCAAAAAAAAGCACUGCUACUAUGUCUAUGAUAUUUAAAAUUCUAUAAUUCUACCUAUGGGCAUUUUUUGCCAUGAACAUAGAUAUAGAAAUGUGUCAAUUCACUUCAGUUACCCAGUCUUUAAAUGUGCUCAAAUUUGGACCUGUUGCACCGUGGCCAUGACCACACAGACUUCAUUAAGUAAGGUGUGACACUGCACCAAAAUUGCAGAGUCCUGGAAUUUAUAACAUUUAGUCAUUCCUACACUACCUUAUACACUUACAUGUCCAUUUACCAUCCCAACAAUUAUUCACCUAAUGGUUUUUAAAGCUUGAAAAAAGUAUAUCUAAAUGAUACUAAAGGUAUCAUUCUAAGCACCUUUAUCCAUGUAGUCGCAGGUGUUAUAUACUAGUUAUGUCUUUCAUCAACACUCUAUUAAAAACACAGAAAGCAGGGAGACAGGACUUUUACAAAAGGGAAGGAAACCAAGACAUGGAGAGGAGGGGAAGGCAAAGGGAUAAAAAGAUGUUAUGUACAUGUACUAACUCCCCAUGAUGAAUGGAAUCAUUAUGUACUGCAAAUGUAUUAAUUUAAAAAAAAAGAGUAAAUCUAGAAAAAAACUAAUGAAGAUAUUCAUCAAGAACCACCAAAAAUCAUCUUGCAUAUCAUCAGUGUACAGAAAACACACUCUGGCGUGCUCACUGAAGCAGCACAUAUAUUAAAAGUGUAACCAAAGUCAUGCGUUGAGAAACAGUAAUUUCGUUCUAAAUCCUUUAUGUCACAGUUAAGGAAAUAAACUCAGAGCGAACCUAACCUGCUCAGAGACACACAGCACCUUGUGAUAUCUAGGCUACCCCUGAAAUAACUACAGUAGACUUUCCAGGUGGUUGAGCUAUCAGAAGUAGAGGCCUGGACUCAGGAGUUGACCAAGGAGUGAGCCCUGAGAACUCAGGAGCCCUCUGUGCAUGGAUCUGGGCUUUCCACUAUCUCUGAGAAGCAACAUACAAAACAUGGUACUUACCAACUGAUUCUCUCAAACAUUGUAUGGAUUGGCUGAAACAGAUCUGCUUUCUUUCAGUCUCAUGUGGUUUUGCUCAACUCACUGAACUUUAAGGCAUAAGGCCAUAGAUAAAAAUGUCUGCUGACAAAGGGGUAGAAGUGGGAGGGGUAGGGGAAAGGAAAGAAGGGAAAGGAAAAAUUAUGAGAAAAGGAAAACAUGGAAGAAAAAGUCUUUGUAAAUAGGGAGGGGUGGGGGGGUGAAGGGAGGAUGGGAAAUGGGGAAAAAAUAAGAACCAAGAUAUAUCAUGUAAAGGUACAAGUACCCAAUGAUAAAUGUGAAUGUAUUGUAUACCUAAAAUGGAC